This 78-nucleotide transfer RNA is filed under the name candidate division MSBL1 archaeon SCGC-AAA259E19. Its description in RNAcentral is "tRNA-Arg". It matches the Rfam family "tRNA". From Rfam's summary of the family: Transfer RNA (tRNA) molecules are approximately 80 nucleotides in length. Their secondary structure includes four short double-helical elements and three loops (D, anti-codon, and T loops). The record is from RNAcentral. Lineage: Archaea; Methanobacteriati; Methanobacteriota.
GGGCCCGUGGCCUAGUCCGGAUAGGGCGGCAGCCUCCUAAGCUGCAAGUCGCGGGUUCAAAUCCCGCCGGGCCCGCCA